Molecule: ribozyme, 68 nt
Filed under: unclassified sequences
Description: Twister_sister_ribozyme
Rfam family: Twister_sister_ribozyme
Source: Rfam by way of RNAcentral
CUUCUCCCCUAGGCCCAGCCCCGUGCAAGCCGGGGCCGCCGAAAGGCGCGGCGCUUACAGGAGACACG